CCCAGGCCCAGGCCCAAGCCCGGGCCGGAGGCCGGAGGUGGGGCUCGGUGGCACCGAGGCGGGCUCCCGGCGCUGCGCCCCCGGCUCCUGCACGGCCCCGGGGCAGCGCGUUCAACCCCAGUGCAGGUGGGGGUGAGCACAGCACCAGCGGAGCCGCCUCUCCGGGCCAUGUGUCCUGCCUGCCCAGCCGAAGGAGCGUGCAUUGGAGCCCGCCGGGGAUGGUGCGUUGCAGCAGAGCCUCUGGAGCGGCUGCGUCUGGGGAGUCUCCUUUGUAUCUGUGGGCAACAGCUGAGUCAGAAGAGCUGCUUAGUGAAGAAUGUGAAGAGGCUUCGGAAGCAGUUAGAAAGAGAAGCAGGAAAGCCUGAGGCAACAAGAUGUGCCUUUGUUCUGAAGGCUUUCAAAAUGCCUUCAGAGAACCAUGUUUGUGGAAGGAUUUUGCAAGAAUCCUGGCAUUGCUUGGAUUACGAAACUGGUGAGUAUGUGCUCUCCUAAGGAAAGUGAGGCUGAGAUGAAUGAUACCUUCAUUCUGUGGAGGGAGAGGAAAGUAUGCAGGAAAUCCACAGGAAGAACUGGGCAGAGCGAGUUGGAGACCUGAAGGGUAGCCUCAUGCUCCGAAUCGCAUUUAUCCCCCCAAACCUGGAGCUGUGCUGAAUGCAGCAACUUCCACAUCAGCCUUGUCCUGAGGACCAAGGAAGUAUUGCGUUUCCUUUAGAAAUUACCACAAUACCUGAUGCUGAGAAGCUCCUUGCUUCUGCCAGAUGGCUGAAGCCAUCUAACAUGGUUGGCAGGUCACAAGGUGAAGGAGUUUUCCUGUCCCAAAACAUGAAGGAUAUCGUUGAUUGAAGAAGUACAUCCCACUGAAGGCCUGGUGAUUCAGAGGUGGAUUCAUCUUCUCACCCAGGAUUUACUCUGAAUAGCAGAGAUGAUGGCUGCAUCCCACCUGUCUGUGUGUGCCAUGAAGAAGGGAGCUGGGAGCAACAGAAACAGCAAAUGGUAUUCCAGAAAUGACAAGCAAAUAGGAGUAUUAUUCUUUCAGCCGUAAUUGUGUGAGUGCAAGCAGUUCCACAGGCUGCUAUGAUGAACAACUGCACAGCAGCAAGUGUAACACUGAUCCUGGGCUUGGGAUGGGAGAGAUCACCAUGGAUGAAGUUCACUCUCUCUUCCUCACAUUGGGCAGCAGCAGUUCCCACUGCUCUCUGGACACUGACAGCUCAGCACUAGACUCUGGCCUUCCUCCUUCUGAACUGCAAAGGGCUUGAACGAGGUACUUUGUAAUAACUGACCCAAAACCCAGUUCCUCGCUGGCUUCCUGGCUGUCCAGCCCCACUUGCAGAGCUGAGUUCUGGACCAGGUAAGAAAAUAAAGGGGCUAAACACAUUCUGCAAAGCAAACCAAAGCUUUUAGGGAAGGCAGGCACCUGAUCCUCCCACUGCUACUACUAUGGAAACAUGUCAGAGCAGAGAACCUGUUGCCAUGAUACUGUAAAAAUAACCUGGUGUCAGCCGUUGCAGAGACGCUGAGUGGCUGCUCCACACGGGUUGUGUGUGAGUGGCUCCAGCGCAGGGACCUGGCACUGUGUGUGCAGGGAGGUGGCUUUCUGAAAGCUUCAGGUAAUAAAUAAUGUGUGUCUGUGAAACUUCAGGCUGAUGUGGGCAGCCUGGCUUCUUGCAGAUGUGCAUUUAGGGUGCGUGGGGUUAGCUACAGAAUUCCAAAGCACAUCAAGCAGUGGUAGUUGGGGUUUAGGCUUAAAGAAAUCCCACCUCAGAUAUAAGGAGUUGGAAACAAGGUGGGGUUUGGAACUGUGUAAAUUGAAGCGUGUGUGGAACGGACGAGGCUGCCUGGUGAAGGUGCCUCUGAGCUCUAAGGUGGAGGGUGCUCAGGGAGCCAGGAAGAGGCUGGUGCUGGGUUUAAAGCCCUGCACACAUGUGCUGAGGGGAAGCGAGCACAGGAUCAGGCCCAGCUCUGUGCUGCACCAGGGAGGUUUGGCAGAACGGGUGAGCUCCCUCGAGAGCUGCAGAGAGCAGGACAACGGCUGUUUGAAGCCUUUAAAUUCUAUCCAGAAAUACCUUUACAGCAGUUCAAAACAUAAAGGGCUUGGCUGUGCCCAGACACUUUCCUGUACACAGCAAAAAACCAAACCCUCCGUAGCCUGUUACUAAUGUUUUUUUCAUGUUUUUAUGGUCUUACCCAAGCUGUGCUGGGGUUCAAGUUCAGGCUAAAGGGGGUGGGCUAAAGGCAAUCCUUAAAACCUUUGAAGAAACUAUUACUGGUUGGAUCAAUUGUCCUUUUACUACAAGGCUGACUCAGGACUCGGUCCUGCUCAGCUCUCUUCAGGCUGCUUUUUUAAAUAUACAUGUUUUAUCCCUCA
Molecule: long non-coding RNA, 2368 nt
Organism: Strigops habroptila (Kakapo)
Lineage: Eukaryota; Metazoa; Chordata; Aves; Psittaciformes; Psittacidae
Exons: 7
Source: RefSeq, a predicted model, not a curated record